This is a long non-coding RNA of Erinaceus europaeus (western European hedgehog), 1109 nucleotides long. RefSeq lists it as uncharacterized. The record is from RefSeq and is a predicted model, not a curated record. The transcript has 3 exons. Lineage: Eukaryota; Metazoa; Chordata; Mammalia; Eulipotyphla; Erinaceidae.
GAGACAGAAAAGGAAAGAUGCCUCAGAACCUAAGCAUUUCCCUGUGCAGUGGGAAACUGGGCUUGAAUCUGGGUUCCACAUAUUGCAAAACAGGCAUCCUCCCAGAAGAGUUGUCUUGCCAACCCCAGUCCUUGACCUUUGACUGGAGAAGUUUGUCCUUUUCUGCAGAGUACGCAGCUUGGAGUAAGGAAGGGUUGUGGGUGGGAAGGCCUUUUCAACAAGUGAAAAUUUGAUGCAUGUUAAGUAAACUGCCAAAGACCAAACCAGGAAGAUGAACCAGUCCGAUAUCCACCAAAGAUAGUGGGGAAAAAGCAGAGGUUCAAUCCUCUGUGCUUCCAUAAAUCAAGGCUGUGUAGUGCUCUGACAGCAGGAACCUCACAUCUCCACUAUGGAGCCUCUACUUUCCCCAGUCCUGGAACCCUUGGAUAGCGCCCACUUGUCCGUAUGCCUCUCCCAAUCCAUGUCAAAUAAUAUUGCAUCUGCUGAUCACAACCUAACCAACGCAACGAUUGCCACCUCAACAUGCUUCACCUCAGACUGUGUCCAGAGACUUCACGUGUGGAAUGACAACCCUUCAGCUUCAUUACUCGGGUGAGACCUUUCCUUUCAUAGUACACUCUAAUUUCAUCUCACUUUCUAACAAAGUCCCAAAACCUAGAUAUACACCAGUUUCUGUGAGAGAGAGCCUAUGUUCACAUGUAUCCAUAAACUACUGCAAAAUAUAUGCCUGAAAGCAGAAGUGCACUAGAGUUUGCAGUGAGUACCCCCCUAACACUUCCUCUCCUCUAUUUCAAGCUUUGGGUCCAUGAUUGCUCAACAAUUUGUUUGGCUUCGUAUGUUAACUCUCUUUUCAGUCACCAGGUUCCAGAUGUCAUCAGGAUGCCGGCCAGGCUUCCCUGGACUGAAGACCCCACCAAUGUGUCCUGGAGCUCCGCUUCCCCUGAGACCCACCCUACUAGGGGAAGAGAGAGGCAGACUGGGAGUAUGGACCGACCAGUCAACGCCCAUGUUCAGCGGGGAAGCAAUUACAGAAGCCAGACCUUCUACCUUCUGCAACCCACAAUGACCCUGGGUCCAUGCUCCCAGAAGGAUAGAGAAUGGGAAAGCUA